GGAUAGCUCAGUUGGUAGAGCAAGAGACUCUCAAUCUCAGGGCUGUGGGUUCAAGCCCCAUGUUGGGCA
This is a non-coding RNA of Podarcis lilfordi (Lilford's wall lizard), 69 nucleotides long. The record is from the annotation of a GenBank genome assembly. Lineage: Eukaryota; Metazoa; Chordata; Lepidosauria; Squamata; Lacertidae.